This 495-nucleotide ribosomal RNA is filed under the name uncultured bacterium. Its description in RNAcentral is "partial 16S ribosomal RNA". It matches the Rfam family "Bacterial small subunit ribosomal RNA", at positions 30 to 507 of the family's 1533-position model. The record is from RNAcentral.
UGAACGCUGGCGGCGUGCCUAAUACAUGCAAGUCGAGCGAACGGACGAGAAGCUUGCUUCUCUGAUGUUAGCGGCGGACGGGUGAGUAACACGUGGAUAACCUACCUAUAAGACUGGGAUAACUUCGGGAAACCGGAGCUAAUACCGGAUAAUAUUUUGAACCGCAUGGUUCAAAAGUGAAAGACGGUCUUGCUGUCACUUAUAGAUGGAUCCGCGCUGCAUUAGCUAGUUGGUAAGGUAACGGCUUACCAAGGCAACGAUGCAUAGCCGACCUGAGAGGGUGAUCGGCCACACUGGAACUGAGACACGGUCCAGACUCCUACGGGAGGCAGCAGUAGGGAAUCUUCCGCAAUGGGCGAAAGCCUGACGGAGCAACGCCGCGUGAGUGAUGAAGGUCUUCGGAUCGUAAAACUCUGUUAUUAGGGAAAAACAUAUGUGUAAGUAACUGUGCACAUCUUGACGGUACCUAAUCAGAAAGCCACGGCUAACUACGUG